RNAcentral lists this long non-coding RNA (1931 nucleotides) under Triticum aestivum (bread wheat). RNAcentral describes it as "long non-coding RNA (TAES_LNC001390)". Lineage: Eukaryota; Viridiplantae; Streptophyta; Magnoliopsida; Poales; Poaceae. The record is from RNAcentral.
GUCGAUUCUAUAGAGGUACAUGAGUUGACGGUCUUCCGCGAUUCAACUAUGAAGGGUAUGUUCUCUUCUUCCCUUAUCCAUGAGUAUAACUGUUCUUUCAAUCUAAUCGUAUCCCCCCCCCCAAUUCAUAUUUAUAAACGUUUCCACAUGGUAGUUAGUACUUUUGUAUGAAGAAAUCACAGUCAUCGGUUCGAACUCAGUGGUAGUAGGCGGAACACAGAUAGGUGUGCUACUGCUUGCUGGUUGCUCAAAUUUGUUGUCAGUUUAGGGCCAUCAGUUCCCCAAAUCUAGUUGGAUCUUAUUGUUCCUAUUACCACAUGUUUUUAUGUGAAUAUUCAUUGGCGUGCUCGUGAAAUUUUUCGAUCACAUUUGCCUCUGGUUCUUGUGUGCGAAAAUUAUGUGCACACUCAUUCCUUUCUUUCGUCCGCGCCCACAACUCUGCACUAACCAUGACAUUGGUGUGUUUCUUGCAGAAUGGGGCGAUUACUUCAUCAUUAGAUAAAAGAAAUAGCACACCCUGCCAACAGGACGAUAAGACCGAAUCUUCCAGAGCUAUGCUCUGGUAAUGUGGUACUUCUACAAGUGAAACAUUAGUAGAAUAGCCAAAUCAAAUUUGCUGAACAUAUCUUUCAUUGCUGCAAGCUUUGCUUUGUUCUACUGUAGUUAAUUCCCCAGAAGAAAAAUUGUUUAACAAGUUUUAAGAUCUGCUUCAUAGUUCAUACAUACUAGACUUACUAGAACUAUUUUUUAUGUGAUCGAGCUGUGUCAUUUGUUUUAUUUGCCGCACCUCUGUACUUUACAUGAUUUUUCCUUCUGUUUAUGCCUACACGAACCAACUGCAACUUUUUUUUAGCUUUGGUUAAUUCUAGCCCAUGCCAUCAUUUCCCAGCUUAAAUCCAACAUUUACAAAUCCAAUCCCAUUAAGUAUUAAUGUAUUAUUCCUUACGAGUACUCCCUUGAUAGUUGGUACUUUUUGUCUCUGAAAUUCUAUUGACGAUCUUUUUUACUUUUGCAUGCAGGACUAUGCUCCUUAUGAAAUUAUCUAAAAUUCAGGCUUGAAUACUAUGUUAUGAUGCAUAAUCAUCUAAUCAUCUCAACACUUGGCUUCAUCCUUCUGGGGGUAUGACUACUAUUUGAUUAUCCAUGCACUAUGUUUCUUUCCUUUUGUCAAUUUCCCCCAAUUGCAACUUUUAUUGGACUAGUAAUUAGGAAAAGAUAUGUGCUCGUUGUUCCCAUCCUUGAUUUGUAAAGAGUAUCUAUAUGUCCUGGAAGCUUUAAAGUAAGUUUUGUGCAUGAAUGUUAUGAAUUGCAUGUGAAAGAAUGGUUAACAAGGAGUUAGCGGACGUGCCUGGAGAUAGAUUAUAUCUACUGUGUUUUCUUCUGGUUCACUUUGUUGAUCUUAAAAUUAAACUGCACUUGAUAUCCAAUUGAAUUUUCUCAUAGCAUUUCUAGUUCAUCUUAUUCAUGCUUUUUUUCUUGUUGCAAUCCAUGUUCUAACAACACUUUUAGAAUCAACAAUAUUGAUCUAGCGUACAUGUCCUGGAGUCAUCUUACCAAUUCCUGAUACAUGUAUUUGUAGUACCGUGUGAACUGUAAUUGUAGAUAUUGAUUGGAGUAGAUGCUUCUUAACAGGAUGUGCAAACGAGUUUGAGGCCCUAUGUCAUCCAGAAGGAACCAUGUUGUGAUUUCCCAUCUGCGCUAAUGCUCGAUCUUUCAAGUGUGACUGUCGGACGACAUUUAUUUUGGCUGAUGAUUCUGCUUGUACUUUGGCCAACCUGUGGUUAUCACUAUUUUUCCAACUGUUUCUGAACUAAGUCUGAUGCUUGCGCCUGUGCUCGCAUCUGAGAAAUUACACUGUUUGAGCAAUUGUGGUUUUAUUCUACAUAUAUGUACACACUGUUUCCAAAUGUGUAUAUGACAGUGGCCAUGUC